ACGGAAGGCAGCAGUGGGGGAUAUUGGUCAAUGGGGGCAACCCUGAACCAGCGACGCCGCGUGAGUGAAGAAGUAUUUCGGUAUGUAAAGCUCUAUCAGCAGGGAGGAAAAAAUCAAAAUUGACAGUACCUGACUAAGAAGCCCCGGCUAACUACGUGCCAGCAGCCGCGGUAAUACGUAGGGGGCAAGCGUUAUCCGGAUUUACUGGGUGUAAAGGGAGUGUAGGCGGCGAAGCAAGUCAGAUGUGAAAGCCCGGGGCUCAACUCCGGGACUGCAUUUGAAACUGUUUUGCUAGAGUAUCGGAGAGGUCAGUGGAAUUCCUAGUGUAGCGGUGAAAUGCGUAGAUAUUAGGAAGAACACCGGUGGCGAAGGCGGCUGGCUGGACGAUAACUGACGCUGAGGCUCGAAAGCGUGGGGAGCAAACAGGAUUAGAUACCCUGGUA
Molecule: ribosomal RNA, 443 nt
Filed under: uncultured Lachnospiraceae bacterium
Lineage: Bacteria; Bacillati; Bacillota; Clostridia; Lachnospirales; Lachnospiraceae
Description: partial 16S ribosomal RNA
Rfam family: Bacterial small subunit ribosomal RNA
Source: RNAcentral